This 2828-nucleotide long non-coding RNA is filed under the name Malus domestica (apple). RNAcentral's name for it is "long non-coding RNA (MDOM_LNC009932)". The record is from RNAcentral. Lineage: Eukaryota; Viridiplantae; Streptophyta; Magnoliopsida; Rosales; Rosaceae.
CUUCUGAAAUAUGGAAUGUGAGAAAUCUUAGGCCACUCUGUGCCGCUGUCCCUGCUGCAUCUUUCCUCUAAAAGGGGAUGACAUCCAUAAAUCCUUGGAGAUUGUAAGUUGGUGAGGCGUUGCAUAGCUUGGACACUUGGUAAAUUCAUCAGAUUCUUGCAAUCCCAAAUCCACAGCUCUUAAGGGAUGUAAGGCUACCCAACCAUUCUGGUAAAGUCUCCACUCCGUCAAUGCAGAAGUUGGAGCCAUGUGGAGUCGUUGUACAUACAACUGGAAUAAAAGUAAUCUUGGAGAACUGUGGCCUUGCACACCAUGAAAUUUGGUAAGGUGCUGCCUACCAUCGAUUCAACUGCUGUGUGACUUAAAAAGGAGAAGGAUAAACAAAUUUUGUUAUAGUACGUGCUUUGAAUUUUUGUGUAGUAAUAGUGGAGACACAGAAUAAAAAAACAAAAGAGAUAAACCUAUAACGUGAGCUCUGUAAUUUGAUUUCAAUAAUUUUAAAACAUACUUAGGAUAAGUGGAAUGUGAGAAAUCUUAGGUCAAUCUGUGCCAUUGUCCCUGGUGCAUCUUUGCUUUAGAAGGGGAUGACAUUCAUAAAUAGUCAGAGUAUGUAAGUUGGCUCGGCGUUGCAUAGCUUGGACACUAGGUAAAUUCAUCAGAUUCUUGCAAUCUUGAAUGUCCAUCUCUGUAAAGUAUGUAAGGUUACCCAACCAUUCUGGCAAUGUCUCCACUCUGUCAAAUUGAUAUAUCACCAAAAAUGUUAGAAGUGAGGUGUUGAAUUUGUUGAGGCGGAGACUUGAGCUUAGGCCAACCAUACAAGGCUAAAAAUCAGGGAAGGAAUCGAGCUCCUCCCAGAACCGACCGAUUUCCAAAUGAUGGAGAGAAUGGAGGCUGUCUAAACUUGGAAGACUCUCUAAAUUCGGGAUGUCUCUUAUUGUCAGCGCCUCAAACGAGAGUGGGAAUUGCAGGCUUGAAAAUUAUCUUGAGUAAUUGAAGAUUCUUUUACCUAAUUUUUGCAAUAACAGGGUAUUUGACAUUUCAUCAAGUUAGUCAAGGGAUAUGAAAUAGAGAUAAAUAAAUCAACCAAAUUCAAAUCACUGUUUAUACGAUUUGAACACUGUUCAUAAAUCACAAGUCGGUCGUACCCAGUGCACAAGGCUCCCGCUUUACGCAUGGUCUGGGAGAGGUGAAUGUCGGCUAGCCUUACCCCCAUUUAUGGAGAGGCUGCUCCCAAGUCUCGAACCCGAGACCUACCGCUCAUGGGCGAAGGCACUUGCCAUCGCACCACUUGUUCAUAAAUCACAAGUAACCAUAAAAAUAUCAGUCCAAAAUCUUCAUAAGGAUAACAAUAACAAACAGAAAGUAAUUGCAGUAGUUCUAAAUAUUAUAUGAACAUGGUUUUACAUGAUGACAAUUCUUGGCAUUACUCAUCUAACACUACUUGGGUGCUGGCAGUGUGUGAUUAAACAAGAUUCAAUACCAUGAUGGGUGAUCAAGCUAGUGGUUCAGCACUCCACUCAUACAGAUGAACUAAAGAAAGUUAAAAUAUUGAUUGAUGUUGCCGGCAUUAAGAAAGAUAACAUGUAAAGGAGAAUGCCCAAGGACUAUAAAAAGAGGUAUAUUAUUGAGAAAUGAAGGUAGAGCGAGAGAAUUAAUAUUGUGUGCAUCAGUACCUGGAGUCAGUUUAUAGCUAUUGAGCAUCAUGAAAAACGCCACAGCAUAGCAAAAGAAAUAUAGAUGGCACUGGGAAACACACAACAUAUAUAGUAAGUCAGAAGUCAACAGUAGAAUGUAUUGAUCAAUUAGAAGUAGAAGAGAAGAGGAGAUGUGGGUUUGAAAAUCUUACAUGACUUAAUUUCAAUGCAAAAGUUUGAGCCAUUUGGAGUCGUUUGUACAUAAAACUGGAAUACAAGUAAUCUCGGAGAACUGUGGCCUUGCACAUCAUGAAAUUUGAUUUUCCCAAUACACAUUUGUUGUAGUAUCGCAAGGCAUUGCAUAGCUUCAAUCCAACUGUUGUCUCAGAAGUCUCAGCCCCAAACUGAUUUAAAAGAAGAGGGAGAAGGACAAACAAAUUAUGUUAUACUAGUUUAAAUUUGAGUGUAGUACUAGUGGAGACAUGGAAUAAAAGAAGCAAAGAGAUAAACAUAUAACGUCAGCUUUGUUAUUUGAUUUCAAUAAUUUAAAAACUUACUGUCGAUUUUUGGAAUGUGAGAAAUCUUAGGCCAAUCUGUGUCGUUGUCCCUGCUGCAUCUUUCUUCUAAAAGGGGAUGACAAAUCCAAAUCUCUAGGAAUUGUAAUUUGAUCAGACCACAACUGAUCAUUUAAAAGAAAAGGGAGAAGGAUAAACAAAUUACGUUAUACUAGUUUAAAUUUCAGUGUAGUACUAGUGGAGACACGGAAGAAAAGAACAAAGGAUAUAAACAUAUAACGUCAGCUCUGUUACUUGAUUUCAAUAAUUUAAAAAACUUACUUGUGAUAUCUGGAAUGUGAGAAAUCUUAGGCCAAUCUGUGCCGCUGUUCCUCAUGCAUCUUUGCUUUAGAAGAGGAUGGCAUCCAGAAAUAUACAGAGUUUGUAAUUUGGUGAGGCGUUGCAUAGCUUGGAAUCUUGGUAAAUUCCUCAGAUUCUCGCAAGACCAAAUCGUCAGCUCUGUAAGGAAUGUAAGGCUACCCAACCAUUCUGGCAAAGUCUCCACUCCGUCAAAUGAACAUAUCUCCAAAUGUGUUAGAGAAGUGAGGUGUUGAAUUUGUUGAGGCAGAGACUUGAGCUUAGGCCAACCCCACAACACUAAACUUGUAAGAUUCAUUAAUGAUGCAACUUGAAAAUCAGG